Molecule: long non-coding RNA, 206 nt
Filed under: Sorghum bicolor (sorghum)
Lineage: Eukaryota; Viridiplantae; Streptophyta; Magnoliopsida; Poales; Poaceae
Description: long non-coding RNA (SBIC_LNC002654)
Source: RNAcentral
GGGUUACAUGGCGCUAGGACUAACAUGGACUAUGGCAUGGGAGAGGACGUUGUCAAGCCGAGGCAUCCGUACCAGCAUGGCUCGAUGGGUCUUGUAGCAACAUACUUGGCGAUGAUGGCACAUGCGUCCUUUUGCGUGAGGUAGUGUAUGACACUUGACGGGAGACCAGUGCUUAUACGCAUGCGUACGUAUUUCCUCAGAUGUCG